Molecule: ribosomal RNA, 262 nt
Filed under: uncultured bacterium
Lineage: Bacteria
Description: partial 16S ribosomal RNA
Rfam family: Bacterial small subunit ribosomal RNA
Source: RNAcentral
GACAGAGGGUGCAAACGUUGUUCGGAAUUACUGGGCGUAAAGCGCGUGUAGGCGGCUAAGUAAGUCGGGCGUGAAAUCCCCACGGCGUCAACCGUGGAAGUGCACUCGAAACUGCAUAGCUAGAGUCCUGGAGAGGAAGGUGGAAUGCUUGGUGUAGAGGUGAAAUUCGUAGAUAUCGAGAGGAACACCGGUGGCGAAGGCGGCCUUCUGGACAGUGACUGACGCUGAGACGGCGAAAAGCGGUGGGGAGACCAAACAGGAU